Monopterus albus (swamp eel) is the source of this 768-nucleotide long non-coding RNA. RefSeq lists it as uncharacterized. The record is from RefSeq and is a predicted model, not a curated record. NCBI's taxonomy places the organism in Eukaryota, Metazoa, Chordata, Actinopteri, Synbranchiformes, Synbranchidae. The transcript is spliced from 3 exons.
GCCUGAACAGGAGGCAGACAGAGCAGAGGGGGGGGGUCAUACUCUAGGAUGUGAGGGGGAUUUCAUGGAUCUGCUGGACCAGCUCUUUCAGACAUCAUCCUGGGCCAUUUGCUGUUUGGCAUGCUCCAUCUCGCUGCAAGGCUGCAAGGACAGUCUCUCUCUCUCUCUCUCUCUCUCUCUCUCUCUCUCCCUCUCUUUGUCUCCUCUCUCGGCCAUACUAGCUGCUGGUUAACGCAGACUCUGGGGAGACAGAGCAGAUAUGCUGUGUUAAAUAAACCAGGCUUUUUAUCUGAUGGGGCACCAGACAAAGACAUACUGCAGGUACAAUACAGUACAUUCUUUGAUGUUCUUGUGUGUAUACUGAAUGAUGAAUAUUUCAGUGGCAGGUGCGUAGUUUGAAGGGAAAGAUUAAUACCAUUGCAGGCAGACUGCUAAAUAAACCACCUUAGGGGAAACAUUGCAGUGAAGAUAUUGUCUCUUCUUACUGUGUCUGUUUCUAACUGACGAAUGCUUAACCUCUCUGACUUCCCUAUCACCUUCUCUCUUGGUGUCCACUCACAGCCGUCCUUGUCCUGGGUUUUAUUUUUAAGGACCAUCCCCAUUUGUUUUCUCUCCUCACUUUUCCAUAACAGCUGCUGGGUCAGCAUAAAUCCUGAGUCUUACAAUGGCAACAGUGGAGGGUAUUAGCCGGUGCACUGUAUGUGCUGUAUGUGUGUAUCUGCACCUGGUCCAUGGUCCAUUGUGUCUUAAGGUACAAACAGCUGCUGA